Molecule: ribosomal RNA, 112 nt
Filed under: Caerostris darwini
Lineage: Eukaryota; Metazoa; Arthropoda; Arachnida; Araneae; Araneidae
Source: RNAcentral
AACGGCCGUACCAUGCUGAAUAUACCGGUUCUCGUUAGAUCACCGAAGUCAAGCAUCAUUGGGCGCGGUCAGUACAUGGGUGGGUGACCACCUGGGAACACUGCGUGCCGUU